RNAcentral lists this ribosomal RNA (447 nucleotides) under uncultured bacterium. Its description in RNAcentral is "partial 16S ribosomal RNA". It matches the Rfam family "Bacterial small subunit ribosomal RNA", at positions 29 to 523 of the family's 1533-position model. The record is from RNAcentral.
AGCGAACGCUGGCGGCAGGCUUAACACAUGCAAGUCGAACGCCCCGCAAGGGGAGUGGCAGACGGGUGAGUAACACGUGGGAACGUACCCUUUGGUUCGGAAUAACUUGGGGAAACUCAAGCUAAUACCGGAUAAGCCCUUAUGGGGAAAGGUUUACUGCCGAAGGAUCGGCCCGCGUCUGAUUAGCUAGUUGGUGAGGUGAUGGCUCACCAAGGCGACGAUCAGUAGCUGGUCUGAGAGGAUGAUCAGCCACACUGGGACUGAGACACGGCCCAGACUCCUACGGGAGGCAGCAGUGGGGAAUAUUGGACAAUGGGGGCAACCCUGAUCCAGCCAUGCCGCGUGAAUGAUGAAGGCCUUAGGGUUGUAAAGCUCUUUUACCCGGGACGAUAAUGACUGUACCGGGAGAAUAAGCCCCGGCUAACUUCGUGCCAGCAGCCGCCGUAA